ACCAGAAACCCGUCACGCAUGCCAAAAGCGCGCCAUUAGUUUGGCAUGAUUUCUCUUACUCUAGUGUUAAUGGCUGAGUGAGUCAUAUGUUGGGUUUGAAUGUGAUGUGUAACUUAUGACCAGCGUUAGCUGGAGGAGUACGACUCGGGCGCCUUGUUCCAUCACUCCCCCUGUCUGGAACAACGGACAAAGAAAAUAAACAACUGCCUCACCAGUAAUGAGACUAUAAUAGUUCCAACCAGCAGCAGAUGCAGCAGCCAUGGCCAGACCACAGGGCAGACAGGGAACAGUGAGCUGGAUAAGGAGGAGGAGGAGGAGGAGGAGGAGGAGGAGUUGGCAGAUGAGGGGGAGAUGGAGGACCUGAAGGAGAUGGUGGGAGAUGAAGUAGCUGGAGGCUGUGGGAAUGAUGGCGGAACAGGAGGCAGAUGAAGAGUUGAUGAAGAAGAUGGAGGAACCUGGUGGAGGGCGAGUUGGUGGAGGAGGAGGAAGAUGAAGAGUUGGUGAUGAGGAGAAGAAGGAUGGCCUGGAGGAGGUGAAGAUUUGGAGGAGGAGUUGGCAGAAGGGGAGACGGAGUGACCUCAGCAAUAACCACCAUGUGACACAUGAAAGCAGCCAUGGUCAACAGCAGCAAUGAAGAGACCGAUGGAUCCUCUUACCGGUGUUAAAGGAAAAAGGAUCAUGGUUCAUCAUCAUGGUCUUCGAUGGCGCUCUCCAUAACGAAAUGUUGUUACUGAAGAGACAGCACUCACCCCGGGGCCCAGCGCCGGCACGGUCAGAGGAUUUCCUCCUGUCCAACCUGAUUGCAAUGGUCCUGUUGAUAGUUAGUUGAAAUGAAACCACAUGGACAACACACAGACACACAAACACACACACACAAAUAUACGCACACACACACACACACACACACACACACACACACACACACACACACACACACACACACACACACACACACACACACACACACACACCAGUGACGAGCAGUGUGUUUUGACAUAAGGCAUGCUGAUGAGAUGGUGCAUGAAAGUGUAGUAUCCUCGAAAAUGUGUAAUUUAGCCGAGUCACUGGGGGCAUUGUCACGUGAACAAAAUGCUCAGGCGUAAUCUGCUUUGCUUCCAACAAACAUUCAGCGCUUUGAAUGUGUGUCAAAAUUGUGAACCGUUUCUUCCACAUUAUUUGUAAAUGUUUAUGUGAAACUCGAGGUGUGGUGAGAGAAAGGCUGUAACACCUCGGAAUCCAGGAGAAGCUAAGCAAGGCUGGCACAGUUAAAAAAAAAAAAAAAGACCUCUUAUCAAAGCUAUGCCGGAGACUUUUGGAAACAAGAGCAGAGCUGAAAUGACUAUUUUACUCAAUGGACGAUUAGAGGAUAUAACAUUAAUGGGCGUAGCCGCGUAGCUAUAGUUCUGGCGGGACUCUCUAGUCAUGCUCUCCCCAUCAGCUGACUGAUAAUGUAGUCCACUCAAAUGCACAUAUACUGAAAGAAGGUACAUUUAAGACCUUCCAUCUAAAACAACCACUCUGCAAAGUUAAGUGUGGUGAGCCUACCACCGCCAUAGCCUCCACCUGCUUUAGUUCUGCUCUACAUUGUACCAAAACGAUGGGUUGAGAGAUAUCUGGCUUACCCCUUGCAUAUUGCUCCCGGUUGUCAAAUGUUGGAAUUCUGUUGGUAUUCGGUGUAUGACAUGUAAUGAACCUACAUUUAUAUUUUAUUUCUCCAUUGUUUUGUUUUAUUUUGACAUAAUUCUGUAUUUUAUUUGUGGUCAUAAGGUCAUCUUAUUUAAUUUUGUCAAUCAUCAGAUCAACAUGCGUGGUAAGGGUUAGAGAUUGGUGAUUGUUCCAUUCCUGAUUACAUGCGAUUCCGGAAGGUACGGGCUUGACUCUCUCCGCUCUAGUGGAUGCCUUAUCGCUUGGACGCGCCUUAUUGUUGGAAUUUGGACGCUCUUCACUCUCUCCGCUCUCGUGGAUGCCCGAUCGUUUGGACGCUCUCCGACGCUCCGUGGUCGCGAUGGACAUUAUUGGACUUCAUAAGCACAUUCUUCUGAAAGUGAACCUUUGUGUUUAGGAAAGAGGGGAAAAGUAGUGUAACAUUGUGAACUAUGGAAACCUUGAUGCCGAAGUUUUACAGAUAAAUAUUUGAAACUC
This is a long non-coding RNA of Gadus morhua (Atlantic cod), 2142 nucleotides long. RefSeq lists it as uncharacterized. The transcript is spliced from 4 exons. The record is from RefSeq and is a predicted model, not a curated record. NCBI's taxonomy places the organism in Eukaryota, Metazoa, Chordata, Actinopteri, Gadiformes, Gadidae.